GAUGAACGCUGGCGGCGUGCCUAAUACAUGCAAGUCGAGCGAACAGACGAGGAGCUUGCUCCUCUGACGUUAGCGGCGGACGGGUGAGUAACACGUGGAUAACCUACCUAUAAGACUGGGAUAACUUCGGGAAACCGGAGCUAAUACCGGAUAAUAUAUUGAACCGCAUGGUUCAAUAGUGAAAGACGGUUUUGCUGUCACUUAUAGAUGGAUCCGCGCCGCAUUAGCUAGUUGGUAAGGUAACGGCUUACCAAGGCAACGAUGCGUAGCCGACCUGAGAGGGUCAUCCGCCACACUGGAACUGAGACACGGUCCAGACUCCUACGGGAGGCAGCAGUAGGGAAUCUUCCGCAAUGGGCGACAGCCUGACGGAGCAACGCCGCGUGAGUGAUGAAGGUCUUCGGAUCGUAAAACUCUGUUAUUAGGGAAGAACAAAUGUGUAAGUAACUAUGCACGUCUUGACGGUACCUAAUCAGAAAGCCACGGCUAACUACGUG
This 497-nucleotide ribosomal RNA is filed under the name uncultured bacterium. Its description in RNAcentral is "partial 16S ribosomal RNA". It matches the Rfam family "Bacterial small subunit ribosomal RNA", at positions 28 to 507 of the family's 1533-position model. The record is from RNAcentral.